CCAUUUUUAAAAAUAUAUAUUUUGAUAUAAUAUAAGUGCUAAAGUGCACGUUACUGAAGGUAAGUACAAUGUCCUGUAUACCAGCAGUUAUUAUUUUUUUGUGGUCAAGACCAUUGAGACCACGUUGCCAAAUACAAAAUAUCUUCCUCCAUUUUUCUCGACCGUUCGCUAUACCUCAGGUCAACCCGAAUUUCAAUAAUAUGUUUGACUUAUGAGAAGUUUGCAAAGUCCUUCUUGAAGCAUUCACCCCAAAUCGAAUUGUGGUCUUUCGUGUUGCAUUUUAC
Cinara cedri is the source of this 284-nucleotide non-coding RNA. Lineage: Eukaryota; Metazoa; Arthropoda; Insecta; Hemiptera; Aphididae. The record is from the annotation of a GenBank genome assembly.